UAGUGGAGACACGAACGGUCUCCUCAUCCCGCGAGUGGAUCGGCCUCCACCCUAGACCGAGGAGAGAAUGGCUCUGCCUGGACCGACCCCCGCGCCGGGCGGACCGGAUCUUCGGCCUAAAGCGUCCACCUGUCUGGAAGCCGCCACCACCAAGCUUUUAUUAAUAUAUCCGUUCCCGCCGGGUUGGCUAUAGAGAUGCGAAUCAACUCCGGGGGUGGGGUGAGGAGCAAGGCCGCGGAGCGGUGAUUGCUUCCUGGACGAGUUGCGUAGGGCGGGACAAAGUCCUGCCCUGAGCUCUGAUUGGUCACCGCGAGACUGCCUACCUAAGCUCUUCCAGGGUACCGAGGUUUUCCGGAAUCACUAAGAGGCUACAAGCCGGGUCCUUCGGCUCCGCGCUCCCAUUGGCUGCUGUUUCGGCGCAAGCGCUUUGGCUCCUGGGUUGGCGUUCAGGGUUGCCGAGGCAGGGCUUUGGCUACUGGAGACUGUAGGUUCGAAUCCCGUCUGGGAACUUCAACUUGUGCACCUGUACAAGAAGCUGGCAUUAUUGGCUUGUACUCAAGGGCUGGCACAGAGUGUGUCGGGGUGCGGACGCCCCAGCCACGCCCAUCAUCCGUGCGGAAGAUGCAGAGGUCAUAUCGGAUGCCUUUCUGUACCACGCGAUUCGGGCAGUCAUAGCCGCAGCGGCAGCGGGAGUUGCACUCGUAGAUGGGCAGCCCGGCUCGAAGCCGCACCUGGCCCUGGUCAUUGUAGGCAAACUUGUGCAGUGACGCCCCCGGGCAGCAGCCUCCAGUGGGUGCCCACAGACAGUCCUGGCACUCGCAGCCCACAGCCACCUGGUUGAGGGUGAUGCCCUCACCAACACGGUACUCAUUGAUGUACACGAAGGCCCGCGGGGGGCCGUCCAGGUCCACCUCAUUCUCUACAGUGAUGCGUCCCAGAUGGCUGCGCUUGGCAUUGAGCUCCUGCUCCCAGCGACGGAGCGCCCGCCUCUGCUUGGCCUUCUGCACCAGGUAGUUGGCCAAGCUUGGGUCCAGGUGCCGGGGGGUCUUUGACCGGUGGUGCCGCCGGAGCAGCUCCCUCUCUAAGUCCUUGUGGAACUGCUUGAGGAUACGCACACACUUGAGAUUCUGCCGUGGCUCCCAGGUGCUCUCUGAGUCUGGAUAUCCGCGCCAUUUCACCAGAGCUGAGCAUUUCCCUGCUUGAGAAGGUGUGAUCUGCUUACUUCCAUACAGAGAAAUUCAGGAUCCUAAACGUGAAGUCUGCCCUCUUAGAACAUGAAGCUGCUGGCUGAGUGUGGUGGCUCAUGUCUAUAAUCCCAACACUUUGGGAGGCUGAGGCGGGAGGCUCACUUGAGCCCAGGAGUUCAAGAGCAGCCUGGGCAACAUAGUGAGACCUCGUUUCUAUUUUCAAUAAAAAUUUUUAAAAGGAAGAUGAAGCUGCUGCUGGUGACAGGAGCUGAAAAUGAUGCGAGCAGAGGACCAUCAACAGCCCCUUCCCCAGGCUUCAGGUAGAGAUUUCUUUAGUGCGUUCUCACAUCUACAUACUGGAACUGUCAGGCUCAAUUUCCCUUUUGGUCUAUAUAAUUUGCAAAACAAAAUUUUUUGGCAUCUGAUGGCCCGGCAUGUGCAGUAACUACCUGUUGGUUUGCUCAGCUGUCAUCACUAGCUGAACACUUGAGGCCUUCUUAGUCCACUCUCAGCUUAAGAGCCAAGGUGAAUACCGCUUGAGAGCCAAGGUGGGUAGGAUCUCAAAGUGGAUCUUUGACAAAACACAAGAGAUCUGCCUGACUUUGAUACAUGGUGUCAUGCUGAGGGAUCGUUAAGGCACCCCUGUGCCAUCAGAUGUCCAUUGAGCAUCUACUAUAUGCCAGGCACUUGGUCCACAUGAUCUCAUUUAACCCUCACAACAGAUGCA
Long non-coding RNA from Piliocolobus tephrosceles (Ugandan red Colobus), 1914 nucleotides. RefSeq lists it as uncharacterized. The record is from RefSeq and is a predicted model, not a curated record. Lineage: Eukaryota; Metazoa; Chordata; Mammalia; Primates; Cercopithecidae. The transcript is spliced from 3 exons.